RNAcentral lists this ribosomal RNA (253 nucleotides) under uncultured bacterium. RNAcentral describes it as "partial 16S ribosomal RNA". It matches the Rfam family "Bacterial small subunit ribosomal RNA", at positions 524 to 776 of the family's 1533-position model. The record is from RNAcentral.
UACGUAGGGUGCAAGCGUUGUCCGGAAUUACUGGGCGUAAAGAGUUCGUAGGCGGUUUGUCGCGUCGUUUGUGAAAACCAGCAGCUCAACUGCUGGCUUGCAGGCGAUACGGGCAGACUUGAGUACUGCAGGGGAGACUGGAAUUCCUGGUGUAGCGGUGAGAUGCGCAGAUAUCAGGAGGAACACCGGUGGCGAAGGCGGGUCUCUGGGCAGUAACUGACGCUGAGGAACGAAAGCGUGGGUAGCGAACAGG